Molecule: non-coding RNA, 19 nt
Filed under: Oryzias latipes (Japanese medaka)
Lineage: Eukaryota; Metazoa; Chordata; Actinopteri; Beloniformes; Adrianichthyidae
Also listed under: 1 other name
Gene: ola-miR-130c
Source: miRBase by way of RNAcentral
CAGUGCAAUAUUAAAAGGG